RNAcentral lists this transfer RNA (71 nucleotides) under Neofusicoccum parvum UCRNP2. RNAcentral describes it as "tRNA-His (GTG) (tRNA-His-GTG-2-1)". It matches the Rfam family "tRNA". Rfam says of the family: Transfer RNA (tRNA) molecules are approximately 80 nucleotides in length. Their secondary structure includes four short double-helical elements and three loops (D, anti-codon, and T loops). The record is from RNAcentral. Lineage: Eukaryota; Fungi; Ascomycota; Dothideomycetes; Botryosphaeriales; Botryosphaeriaceae.
GGUGUUAUGAUCAAGUGGUAUGAUACGUCGUUGUGGCCGAUGCAGCCUGGGUUCGAUUCCCAGUAACGCCA